GCCCCUUCAGCCCCAGUCGAUGAACGGGAGGGGAGGGUAGCCGCCUUCAGGAGGAGGUUGCAGUGAUGGCGGCAGGUUGCCCCAAGAGGCGUGUCCCCCCAGUAUCUUCCCUGCGGCAACAAAGAGGAAUGAAACAUUGCCAAUGCAAAAUCCCUAAGGGAAAUGGAGCAUUUGCAAACGGUGAACCCUAUGAUGCCCUGGAAGCUUAAGCACUUGAAAGCAUCACGACAUUUCAAAAUUCAGAGAAAGGAUCAGGAGCAUGGUUCCUGCAGGCCAGGAAGCUGACAACAGCUCCAAACCAAACAAAUUUAAGGUCUUUAAUCUGUACGCCCUCCUUCCUAGUCAUCCUGAGGCACCAACCGACAGGACCGCUUGCAAUUGAAUAGCCUCGAAACAUCCAAACAGCACACGAUCAGUCUCUGGUAGGCGCCAAGUCACUAACCAAUGGACCCGCUGGCACAUGAUGGAGUAAAUUGGAAUGUCCAAAUAGGAUGAUUGUGUCGCAAGGGCUCACAUCAUGGCAUGACAGCUGACUGAAGUGAGGAUAUGGUAAGCAUCUAGCUUGUCGUAUAUCACAAUUCUUUCUGUAAAGGUGGAUGCAAGAAUUUAGAGAUCUUUUGUUGGUUCGAAGCAGUUUGGGCGGAAAAUAUUAUGUGUGUUUUCUUCUAAAAGCAGGUGUUAUCUACUUACAAGUAGAAGUAGGUUUUUUCAUCUCAUUCAAUGGUCACAAAAGAAUUUUCCCUUCAUGGCAUGUUAAACAAAUAGAUGUCCUCAAUGACAACCCAAUUUUUUUAAAAAAAAACUACUAAUUUUUUUUUAAAAA
Zea mays is the source of this 823-nucleotide long non-coding RNA. RefSeq lists it as uncharacterized. The transcript has 2 exons. The record is from RefSeq and is a predicted model, not a curated record. NCBI's taxonomy places the organism in Eukaryota, Viridiplantae, Streptophyta, Magnoliopsida, Poales, Poaceae.